This is a long non-coding RNA of Hemibagrus wyckioides, 2431 nucleotides long. RefSeq lists it as uncharacterized. The transcript has 8 exons. NCBI's taxonomy places the organism in Eukaryota, Metazoa, Chordata, Actinopteri, Siluriformes, Bagridae. The record is from RefSeq and is a predicted model, not a curated record.
UCAACUAGUUUGCAAAGUGUUGCUGAGAAGAAUCAAGAAUUAGAACCGAAAAGACAUGACUUUUGUCUGACAUCUCUCUGUGCACACACACACACACAAACAAAUACCAUGAGAGUGUGCGCUCGAAUAUGCUCUAGAACCGCUCUUGCGAUACUUUAAUGUCAUACACCUAUCGGUCCGCGCAGCGCCGCUUUCACACCACGUGACUAAAAUACCUUACAGCCCUUGAGCGGGACAGCAAUAAAAAAAAAUGGUCAGAAAACACAACAAUCUUAUUAUUCAGAUCAUUUUAAUUUUUAUUGUUAACACAGUUGAUAAAAGUCGGCUAACAAAUGUAUGUUGUGUCAAAAAGGAGGCCCACUGUCUUUGAUUCUGAAAACCCCUGACAUAAGGACCCUUUUGAAUAUUAUUCCCUACCCAAGACGUACAAAAUCCUUAAAUUAAAUAAGCCUAAAGAUAGAUCUAAAUAAAAUAUAAUCUGUUAAAACACUAAGACAUUACAGUCUGAACAUCAUGACUUUCUAUUAUUCAACUAAUGCAGAAUUUAAGUUAAAAUACAGACAUGACUUAGGUGAACAAUGGGUCAGAACAGACUCCAUCAUUUGGCUGUUCUGUCAAUAGAAAAAGGAGUUCUCAGCUCCAUAAAUACUAGUAUGGUAAUUGACCAUCAAGUCUCAGAGAUACACUCUGAUGACUCCACCCUCAAAGAAAUAGGAUCAAAAAGUCACCAAGAUAAAAACUGUUAUAGAAUAUGGCAUGCAGUUGCUUCAAACAAUGGUAUAAAGCUAUUCAAAACACCAUUUAAUGUAAAUUAUGAUAAUCGUAAUUAAGAAUCACAAUUACAAUUUCAAGGGAAUAAUCGACAAUUAUGAUUUUUGUCAUAAUCAUGCAGCCCUAGUUGUAGAUCUUGAGUUUCAUCUAAUUGUCAUUUGCUGGGAUUCCGUUAUUAUACUAGCUAUGAGGAGAGAUUCACUGGCAUUCAGGUAAGGGAUUAUUCAUUGUGGCAUUGUAAAAUUUUGUUAAUUGCAGUGACUAAUUGUGUUUGUGUGUGAAGUUUGUUGAGCCAAACAUUCAGCUGCUGCUCAAUGAACAACACCAAGACCCUUUACCUGUGUCCCAGCUGAAGGUAUUCUACAGUGCAGCAGCUGAGGGAUUCCCUUAUCAAACCACCAUAGAGGACUGUUUCUCUGGCAUACGGCUGAAUCUGGGAGGGUUACUGAAUUCAUCUCCUGUAACCGAGUGGAGACGUCUUUCAUCGUGCCACAUUAUUACGUGCAAACCAUUACAACGGUAACCUGUACUUACCUGUAUGUGGCUGCAGAUGGACAAUGUACACCUCCACUUGGGAGUGGGAUCAGGACGACUCUGAGGAGAGUGAUCAGUGCCUUAACCCAGAGGAGAUGGAGGUGUCCUUUAUUUGCUGACUGACAUCGGCCUGAAGGUGCCUGCUGUCCGCGAGGCGUUCGCUGUGAGUUAAACCUUUAUUCAGCUGCUGUUAUUGCACAGGAUGCAGUUGGUGUGCAGUUGGCCUACGAGGCCCUGAUUCGAUUCCUGAGGACGCCUUCCAAUCAGGAAUCGAUUAAAGCAGAGCUCUCUGGGUCCACCACUACAACUUCCUGGAUGUUUUUUAUGAACUGAUUCUCUUCAGCUGCUUUAAGAAUGGCUGAACACCUCAUCCAGUAAGUGUCUUAUCAGGAGAUUUUGCUUGAAUUAAGAACAUUGAAUUAAGAAUUUCAGAACAUGGUCUAUUUUAUCUCAUUUUGUUUUCCCAUAUUUGUAACCCUGAUUAGACAUUAGGGAUGCAACAAUACAGUUAACCCACGGUUCAAUACGUACCGCGGUUUUUAACCACGGUUUUCUUUUCGGUUCGGUUCGGAUGGCUUGGCAAAUUAAAGGGUUUUUUUUUGUUUUUUUUUUCCCCCCAUUAUUCUUUGCUUAGGUGACAGGAACAGUAAGUAUGUUAAGAAGAACAAAACUGGUUUUAGUUGCAAUUCUCUUUAUUUUACUUAAAUGCAAAAAUCAACUUGUACACAUUCAUAGUGUACUGAAAAUAGUGAGAGAUAAAAAUUAGCGCUUGUAUGACUUUAUUACAGGAGACGGGGUUGGACGGCGCUCUUUUUUCCCAAUCCGCUCUGUAAUGAACAGUAAGGGUGAGGUAACUCUGUUACCCACGAGGUCCAACUAUCUGUUAUUAGAGCAAGGCUUUGCGCAUUAGACGAUUCGGCUUCGAUUUUUUGCAUGUUUUUUCGUAGAGGUCGAGGUAAUCUGUGUAAUACUCUGUAAUCUGUGCAGAUUGGUUAGUUGGCAUGUAAUGCUAAGGAGGAGUCUUCAUCUUACAGUGCAGUCCAAACCCUGAGUAAAUAAAACCAGGGGCAAUAAUCACUUGUGUAUUAUGGAGAAAAUCUUACUCAGAUCAUAAAGAGGAAAUGUU